CUUGAAUCCCCUGUCAAUAUUUUUAAAGAAUUAACGGCUACAUUCUGGCCCAUGUUAACUGUAAGAAGUCUUACUGCUCUGGGACUCGCUUCUUUCUUUUCUUGAAUAAAUAUAUAUCUAAAAAAAGAUUAACUGUAGCGAACUUCUAUUUUCUUAUCUAGUUGAGUUCUGCCUGGUGAGAUUGGCCACUGAUAAAUGUCUGCAGUAUGUCAAUAUAGUUUAUUUGUUCGUUAUGCAGUUUCUUGACUGUUCUCUGUAUUUUUCUUUUUAAUUUAACCAUAAGCUUGAAGCUUUAAAAUUCCUGAACUUCAUUUACUCAUGGUGUCUGCAUCAAAUUAUACGAGACUGGUUGUCUCAUGCGACUGUUGAAAAUGAUUUAAAUAAUUAAAUUUGUCCCCUUUCUAACAUCAUAAACUUUUAAAUGACGUGUUACAACAUGAUCCUAGUGCAGUCAAAAGAUGCGAGUUCAAGUCUCCCUGCCACCUAUUUAUAAUCGUCACAUGUCAGGCCUUUGAUAAAAAUGUAUUCAGCCUGAACUUAAUGCGGCACUUUGAAGGCAGUAUACAUAAUUAAGUUUGUCCUCUUUCUUCAAAAGCUUUUAAGCGAGGUGGUUUGACCGUGUCUAUGCUUUUCAACUUUUGCCUCGUCCACUAGUCUAAUCCUUAAUUAGGUCUCAGUAUCAUUUUUAGCUCUGGUGUAUCUGGUCAAGAGGUUUAGGCAAACCUAUAUAAUUUAGAGAGAGCAAAUUUUGGGUGUGGAGGAAUAUGGCAUGGAUUACUUUACAUGUUGGGAAUGAUCCCCUUCUUUGUACUCUGAAUCGGAAUACUAUGUGGCUUCAGUAGAUUUGAGCUCGUAAAAGAUUUCAAGAUAAAACCAUAAUGUUUUGCUCUCUGCAUAAACAAAUGGCUUGUUUUUCAGGCGGGUUGGAAGCUUUGGCCUUUUGCUCAUCUCGUUACCUACGGUGUGAUCCCUGUUGAACAAAGACUUCUUUGGGUCGACUGUGUGGAGCUCAUUUGGGUGACAAUAUUAUCAACGUAAGCAUGUCGUCUUAAUUGAGCUCUUAUUUCCAGUUUCUAUGUUCGGAUGCACACUUUGCCAUGUUUGGGUAGUUGGAUUAGACAAUAAUAGGGAGUAUCACACAGCUUUUCUCCUUUCAAUGUAUGAGGUAUCAAGGAUCUGGUUACUGUAGUUUGACAUGAUAAUAUCUGUCUUGAACUAUUCUGAGAUGGAACGAGAACUCUAAUUUCUUUUGGAAUUCUAUUUGGUAGUUAUUCGAACGAGAAAUCAGAAGCCCGCAUCUCUGAUUUACCUGCCGAAGCUAAUGUCGAUGCAUCGUCAAAACGUACACCUGAGGUAUGCCAAAUGUUUAGUUAACUAUGCAUGUGAGAUUCGUCUUUCGACUGCUAUAACCUAUAAUUCUGACUCACCGUCUCUUUUCCCUUGUUUUCUCUGUUAAGGUUUGACAGAAUAGACCAACCGAGACCAGAUGAAGCGAUGAGAAAUCGAUUGCAAGGAGAUAAUUGAAGCCAUCUAUACGAAGGUAACAAGGCUGCAGGUACCGAUCGAGUGUAAAUUCUCUAUGUACUUUGUGCAGAUCUUUUCGGUAUCUGUAUGUGCGCAUUAAUUCUUGACUUGGAAAAUGUAGUUUAACUAGUCAUGCCUAAAACAUGCAGUGUCGACAUUUUUAUAUAAGAAUCUCCACUUUCUCCACUGAUAAAUGUCUGCAGUAUGUCAAUAUAGUUUAUUUGUUCGUUAUGCAGUUUCUUGACUGUUCUCUGUAUUUUUCUUUUUAAUUUAACCAUAAGCUUGAAGCUUUAAAAUUCCUGAACUUCAUUUACUCAUGGUGUCUGCAUCAAAUUAUACGAGACUGGUUGUCUCAUGCGACUGUUGAAAAUGAUUUAAAUAAUUAAAUUUGUCCCCUUUCUAACAUCAUAAACUUUUAAAUGACGUGUUACAACAUGAUCCUAGUGCAGUCAAAAGAUGCGAGUUCAAGUCUCCCUGCCACCUAUUUAUAAUCGUCACAUGUCAGGCCUUUGAUAAAAAUGUAUUCAGCCUGAACUUAAUGCGGCACUUUGAAGGCAGUAUACAUAAUUAAGUUUGUCCUCUUUCUUCAAAAGCUUUUAAGCGAGGUGGUUUGACCGUGUCUAU
RNAcentral lists this long non-coding RNA (2148 nucleotides) under Olea europaea (common olive). Its description in RNAcentral is "long non-coding RNA (OEUR_LNC001497)". The record is from RNAcentral. Lineage: Eukaryota; Viridiplantae; Streptophyta; Magnoliopsida; Lamiales; Oleaceae.